GCCGCCAUGGCGCAGUGGUAACGCGUCGCACUUGUACCACUAAGACAGUAAACUGUCUAGCAAUCUAAUGCGAAGAUCCCUAGUUCAAUUCUGGGUGGCGGCAU
Molecule: transfer RNA, 104 nt
Filed under: Pseudogymnoascus destructans
Lineage: Eukaryota; Fungi; Ascomycota; Leotiomycetes; Thelebolales; Thelebolaceae
Description: partial tRNA-Thr
Rfam family: tRNA
About the family: Transfer RNA (tRNA) molecules are approximately 80 nucleotides in length.
Source: RNAcentral